GCUGGCGGCGUGCCUAACACAUUCAAGUCGAACGGAGUUAUGAGGAAGCUUGCUUUCGAGUAACUUAGUGGCGGACGGGUGAGUAAUGCAUGAGCAACCUGCCUUAAAGAGGGGGAUAACACAGAGAAAUUUGUGCUAAUACCGCAUGUGCUAUUUUGGUGGCAUCACCGGAAUAGGAAAGGAGCAAUCCGCUUUAAGAUGGGCUCAUGUCUGAUUAGAUAGUUGGUGAGGUAACGGCUCACCAAGUCUACGAUCAGUAGCCGGACUGAGAGGUUGAUCGGCCACAUUGGAACUGAGAUACGGUCCAGACUCCUACGGGAGGCAGCAGUGGGGAAUAUUGGGCAAUGGGCGCAAGCCUGACCCAGCAACGCCGCGUGAAGGAAGAAGGUCUUCGGAUUGUAAACUUCUUUUAUAAAGGAAGAACUAUGACUGUACUUUAUGAAUAAGCCACGGCUAACUACGUGCCAGCAGCCGCGGUAAUACGUAGGUGGCAAGCGUUAUCCGGAUUUACUGGGUGUAAAGGGUGAGUAGGCGGGAAAGCAAGUCAGAUGUGAAAUGCAGGGGCUUAACCCCUGAACUGCAUUUGAAACUGCAUUUCUUGAGUAUCGGAGAGGUAAUUGGAAUUCCCAGUGUAGCGGUGAAAUGCGUAGAGAUUGGGAGGAACACCAGUGGCGAAGGCGGAUUACUGGACGAUAACUGACGCUGAGGCACGAAAGUGUGGGGAGCAAACAGGAUUAGAUACCCUGGUAGUCCACACCGUAAACGAUGAAUACUAGGUGUAGGCAAGAAAUUGUCUGUGCCGCAGUUAACACAAUAAGUAUUCCACCUGGGGAGUACGGCCGCAAGGUUGAAACUCAAAGGAAUUGACGGGAGCCCGCACAAGCAGUGGAGUAUGUGGAUUAAUUCGACGCAACGCGAAGAACCUUACCAGAAUUUGACAUCCCGGGAAGUCGGCGUAAUGGCUGAUGUGCCCUUCGGGGAACCCGGAGACAGGUGGUGCAUGGUUGUCGUCAGCUCGUGUCGUGAGAUGUUGGGUUAAGUCCCGCAACGAGCGCAACCCUUACUGUUAGUUGCUACGCAAGAGCACUCUAACAGGACUGCCGUUGACAAAACGGAGGAAGGUGGGGACGACGUCAAAUCAUCAUGCCCCUUACGUUCUGGGCUUCACACGUACUACAAUGGCGUAAACAAAGGGGAGCAAUGCCGCGAGGCGGAGCAAAUCCCAAAAUAACGUCCCAGUUCAGAUUGCAGGCUGCAACUCGCCUGCAUGAAGCUGGAAUUGCUAGUAAUCGCAGAUCAGCAUGCCGCGGUGAAUACGUUCCCGGG
Molecule: ribosomal RNA, 1326 nt
Filed under: uncultured bacterium
Lineage: Bacteria
Description: bacterial SSU rRNA
Rfam family: Bacterial small subunit ribosomal RNA
Source: RNAcentral